Molecule: long non-coding RNA, 1228 nt
Filed under: Coturnix japonica (Japanese quail)
Lineage: Eukaryota; Metazoa; Chordata; Aves; Galliformes; Phasianidae
Description: lncRNA (ENSCJPG00005013296.1)
Source: RNAcentral
UGCUCCAUUUUUGAUGUAGAAAACAUGACAGCUAAAAAUAUAAUUAGUAAAUUGUUUUCCUUGUUUCGUCCUGCAGGCCAAAACAACAGCAACAGAACAAUUUUUCCUUGUUUCCUUCUACUAAAGGCUGGAAUUUCAGAGGGAAGAAACGAAAACAGAGUACUCAAGAUGAAGAUACCAUCAGUAUCUGCAGCUUGGAUACAAGCGUGAGUGAUUUCUUUCCUUUCCUUUUGCCUCUCCUUAUAAAUGAAAUCUGGAUGUUAUUGGUGCUCUGAAACAAACCCGUUUGUUCUUUUGGCUGUAUUGUUUUCAUGCACAGCAUGAAUAAUUUAUUCUGCUUAUUUAAAAGAAAAGGUGUUACCACUUUUCAUUUUUCUGUAGGGGUGCUUUUAAAGUGGAAAAUGAGAAGUUAGAAUGAUGGCAGUGGAUCUCUUAUUAGUAAAUAAUUAUCAGGGCAAAUGGGCAUUGUGAGUACAGGACUUAAAAAAUAGACCUUUUGUCCUAUAAUGUGGUACGUGAGAUAAUUUAGUUCACUUAGGGCAGUGAUGGAUACUGCUGGUGCUGUGAAGCUGUGUAAUGUGAUAUUACUGCAGUUAUGUGACCUUGGUGCAUUGUUUUUGAAGUGGCCCACUGAAACACAGCUAUGAUUUUCUAUCACAUUUCAGAUGUUAAGAAGCCAAUAGCAAAUAUGUUUAUAAAUUACAUGGUUUUAAGCUACGUGGAUAUUUUAAAAUUUAUUUACUGUUUCUGAACUCCUGAGUUUUUCUUACUUGUUUUUGUAUGUAAAAGUGAAACAUUGACUGCUCUGAGUUGGUUAAAACUAAUGUUAUUGUUUAAAAAAAAAAAAAAGGCAACGUUUCACUGAUCAAAGUCUGCAUUAGAAAAUGGAUCUACAGGGACAAAAACAGUUCUUUUUGGUGGAUGUUGAAUCAAAGUUUGCAUGAAUGUAAAAUGGUGGAGUGCACCACGUUGUGUGCAGUUUCCCAUGUAAAACUAUGACUUCUACCAUUUAGCAUUUGGUAGUAUAAAUCCAUGGAAGUUAAAGAAAUGGAGAUGAAUUUACCAUUCCCCCUGGUGUUUUUAUUUUUGUUUUCAGUGUUUUUUUUACACUCCACAGUCAGCUGUUGAAGCAGGUUUCCCUAUCUGUAGAACUUUCAUGCAGUAUAGACAGAAAAAGUAAGUUAAAAAGUAGGGAAUAAAAGUUUUGGCAAAUCUUUCUGUAUUAGCA